RNAcentral lists this ribosomal RNA (424 nucleotides) under Verrucomicrobiota bacterium. Its description in RNAcentral is "Verrucomicrobia bacterium partial 16S ribosomal RNA". It matches the Rfam family "Bacterial small subunit ribosomal RNA", at positions 355 to 776 of the family's 1533-position model. Lineage: Bacteria; Pseudomonadati; Verrucomicrobiota. The record is from RNAcentral.
UGAGGAAUAUUGGUCAAUGGACGAGAGUCUGAACCAGCCAAGUAGCGUGCAGGAUGACGGCCCUAUGGGUUGUAAACUGCUUUUGUUUGGGAAUAAUCGACAUUACGUGUAAUGUUUUGCAUGUACCAUUCGAAUAAGGACCGGCUAAUUCCGUGCCAGCAGCCGCGGUAAUACGGAAGGUUCGGGCGUUAUCCGGAUUUAUUGGGUUUAAAGGGAGCGUAGGCCGUUUGGUAAGCGUGUUGUGAAAUGUAGGAGCUCAACUUCUAGAUUGCAGCGCGAACUGUCAGACUUGAGUGCGCACAACGUAGGCGGAAUUCAUGGUGUAGCGGUGAAAUGCUUAGAUAUCAUGAAGAACUCCGAUUGCGAAGGCAGCUUACGGGAGUGUUACUGACGCUUAAGCUCGAAGGUGCGGGUAUCGAACAGG